CGGAAUAACUUUAUAAGCUUCUCGUUUUCGAACCGAACUCUCUAUCCUCCCAUCCGAUUCUAACGACUCUUGCCAACCAUUAGAGCAGCCGCAACCAUGGCCGAAAAACAACCAAAGGGAAAGGGAAUUGUCGAGAUGGCCGUAGGCUACAGUUAAUAUGAGUGUGCUUUCCUUACCUCUCUCUAUCUUAUCUCUGUUUUCUUUGUUUAGCACAAUUCUGUGACUAAGCGAUUGGAGUAUUUCAUCAUUAUUCAAUCGAAAUGGUUUCCACAAGCAAGACAUGAAUACAGCAACAAUGCAACACUGCAAGGAUGCUAUCUCUUCCAAUUCAAUUCCUGAUUUCCGAAGAGGAUCAAUUGGGCGAUGCUUUGCAUUGAAUUAGGCAAGUUAUAGGCCUUGUAUGUGGGUUGCUGUGGGGUGCUGCCCCUUUCGUUGGAGCUAUAUGGAUUGUCAUGGGCUCGGGUGAAGGAUCCAACUUGUCCAUUGUCAUCCAGAUUUUUGGGAAGUCUACAAAUAACUGGUGAGUUUCUAGACCUCUGCAUUGCUAUAUUUGUGUUGGUUCCAAGUUUUUGUUCAUCCCUUAAUCAUCGUGGGAUUGACAAGGAUGUUCCAACUGUGUUUAGUAUAAAACCUGAAAAAAUUUUGGGUGCUACCUAGGUUGACUGCAACCCCCUGCUAGCAGCCAAACAAAUGGAAUAAUCCCUUCCCCCUAGGUUUACAAAUAUCUUUUUAGAUUUUAGUUUUUUUUUCAAAUUUCCCUUUAAGAUUCCUUGAAAUUAUCUGCUUACAAGGUUUGGAUGCUUUAGACUAACAUUUGUUUUUCCUUUUCUAAUGUAAUACUUGCAUGUUGCAAGUUGCAAUUGACCAAUGGUCAUGGUUUCAAAGAUUAGGAAGCAGAUUGAUGAAUUGGUGUUUUAGAUUGGCAAUGGUAGUCACCGAUCCAAGUCUGAAUGCUUCGUAUUGAUAAUCACUAGAACGGAUUCAUUCCGUUUUAGUGAAAUAUGAAGAAAUUACAAGAGGACUUCAGCCUUUGACUAUGAUAUUUGUAGAUAGUUUAUUCGAUUAUUGUUUUCUUUCAAGUUGAUUUUUGAGAAGAGGUGAGCUUGCAAAGAGCCAUGUAAACUAAACAAACUCUGCAUGUUAAUACACUUAGUUGAUUAUAUAAUAGUUACAAGAUUAAUUUGAAAUAUCCAUCCUUACCUUCCUUAAUACAAUAAACUUGUGACUAUAUGACUUAGUUAGGCCAAUUUUGGAUCUAUAUCAAGAUGAUAUUUAUAUUCAAAUAUUCAUAUAUUCUUUAAUGUUUAUCUAUUUUCAUGUUUUUCAUAUUGGCCUGCCCUUACUUGUAUCAAUUUUUAUUUAAACUAUCAAUAGUCAUCAUCUCUCUCUCUCUCUCUCUCUCUCUCUCUCUAUGGAAGACCACACAUGCAUUUGCACAUGCAUGUUGUAUAUAUAAGGAUAAUAUUCUAUCCAAGAGCAACCCCUGUGCCACAGGCACAGGAGUUGUGCAAUGACCAUUGUGCCCCUCUUGGGAAUGCACACCUUGUGUUUGAGUGCAAGAGGACAGAAAAUACUUAUCCAUAUAUAUAUAUAUAUAUAUACACUAUUAAAUCUAGAUUGAUUCUUGCAAGCAUGGACUCUAUAGACUGAUCCAUACUCAAAAUUAGGUGACAUUUCUAUCUCAUGAGAGGAAGGGCUUGCCUUUAUGUCAUCAGAUUGGAAUCUACAAAGACAUUAAGGCCCAUCAAUAUAAAUUCUAGAACAUCAUGGUGAAAAAGAGCACAGGGGAAAUGGUUUCUGUGGGGAAUGUGCCCCCUCCCCAAUGGAAUACAAAAUGGCUCCCAAGUUGAUGGUUCCUCACGCACUCCUAUUGUUCCAUGCACCCACGGAAGAACCACACUUCCUCACAAGAAACAUUUUCCUAAGAAUAUAACACUUCAUGAGUCAUGUCAAGAUACAUUUGUUUUCUAUGAAAAAUAUUGUAUUUUCAUAACAAAAGUCUAUUGGGGAUGAGCUACGCACUUGAGCUCUCGAGUAAGUCCAAGGAAAGUCCCUAGUUACUUUAUUGUAAAAAUAACAGUAGUAAUUAUAAUUUGAAAAUAAGUGUGAUCCAAUGGACCUCCUUUGCUGGCCCCUCAUAAAUCCCUUGUUUGGCACCCUAGUGGUCCCUAUAUGCAGCCUAGUGGAUCUGGCCUUUAUUGACCGUUGAAUUGAAUUAGCA
Molecule: long non-coding RNA, 2221 nt
Organism: Macadamia integrifolia
Lineage: Eukaryota; Viridiplantae; Streptophyta; Magnoliopsida; Proteales; Proteaceae
Exons: 3
Source: RefSeq, a predicted model, not a curated record